AGAAGGGAUGUCACCCUUCAGGUCUGGUUAGUCAACCACCUUUCAUCAGCACAACAUUUAUUUAUUUCCUGUUACUGAAAUAAAACAUAAAGCAUGCAUGUUCAAUAAUUCUCCUUUAACACUGUGCUAGAGUAACUGAACUUUUAUGGUGAUAAACAGUGAUGCAAAAUUAAUAUGGUGGGACCCAAUGUGAAAAAAAAAAGUGGUCUCAUAAUAGAUUAUAGUGCAUGCAUAUAUAUGUUCUUAUGCUACAGGCAGUGCUACUUAAGCACGUAUUGCUUAGGGCUAAAUUCUGUCAUCUUUUCACAGCUUCCUAUUCUUUAAGUUGUCUCAUCAUGUAGGGUCACAGAGUCUGACACAGAGCAAGUAGAAGUGAUGAAUUAUGAGUUUCCUUAUCAUGAUUGUCCAGAGCCUUCCAAGUUGUCACUUCAAAUUCAUCCCUUAGAGCUGGUGUGUGACAGAAAGGUCCACUACUGUACAUCAGAUUUCCUUCAGCUAUGUCUGGAUGAAGCUAUGUCUACACGGAGGACAGAAGCCUCUGAAGAAACUGCUAUGUGGGAUAACAUAAUGGGAAUAUCUUCCUUCUAUCAAAGCUCCAGGUAUUUCAUUCCGUAUUCCAGUAGAAGUGUAUUUCACAUUUUUUGGAAGAUUUUCCGAGCAUCCUUGAAUCUCAUCCUACAAUAA
Molecule: long non-coding RNA, 684 nt
Filed under: Crocodylus porosus (Australian saltwater crocodile)
Lineage: Eukaryota; Metazoa; Chordata; Crocodylia; Crocodylidae
Description: lncRNA (ENSCPRG00005012969.1)
Source: RNAcentral